GACGAACGCUGGCGGCGUGCCUAAUACAUGCAAGUCGAACGAACCGCGACUAGGUGCUUGCACUUGGUCAAGGUGAGUGGCGAACGGGUGAGUAACACGUGGGUAACCUACCUCAUAGUGGGGGAUAACAGUCGGAAACGACUGCUAAUACCGCAUAGGACAUAGGAUCACAUGAUCCAGUGAGGAAAGGUGGCCCAAGCUAUCGCUAAGAGAUGGACCCGCGGUGCAUUAGCUAGUUGGUAGGGUAAAGGCCUACCAAGGCGAUGAUGCAUAGCCGACCUGAGAGGGUGAUCGGCCACAUUGGGACUGAGACACGGCCCAAACUCCUACGGGAGGCAGCAGUAGGGAAUCUUCCGCAAUGGACGCAAGUCUGACGGAGCAACGCCGCGUGAGUGAAGAAGGUCUUCGGAUCGUAAAGCUCUGUUGUUAGAGAAGAACAGCGCAUAGAGUAACUGUUAUGCGUGUGACGGUAUCUAACCAGAAAGCCACGGCUAACUACGUG
RNAcentral lists this ribosomal RNA (502 nucleotides) under uncultured bacterium. RNAcentral's name for it is "partial 16S ribosomal RNA". It matches the Rfam family "Bacterial small subunit ribosomal RNA", at positions 28 to 507 of the family's 1533-position model. The record is from RNAcentral.